Molecule: ribosomal RNA, 247 nt
Filed under: uncultured bacterium
Lineage: Bacteria
Description: partial 16S ribosomal RNA
Rfam family: Bacterial small subunit ribosomal RNA
Source: RNAcentral
AUACGUAGGUGGCAAGCGUUGUCCGGAAUUACUGGGUGUAAAGGGAGCGUAGGCGGGGAGGUCAAGUCAGGCGUUAAAUCCAUCGGCUCAACCGAUGGCCGCGCUUGAAACUGCAUCUCUUGAGUGAAGUAGAGGUUGGCGGAAUUCCUAGUGUAGCGGUGAAAUGCGUAGAUAUUAGGAGGAACACCAGUGGCGAAGGCGGCCAGCUGGGCUUUUACUGACGCUGAGGCUCGAAAGUAUGGGUAGC